AUGGAUGUAAUCAAAAUUCUAUAGGAUCAGUAGUUCAUGAGAAGCGGCCAAAUGCGUUCGGCAAUUCAGGCAGAUAGAAGCUUGGUUGAUUGAUUGCUCUUCAUGUUAAAUUUCACCUAAUGGUUUCCCUUUUUGUUGGUUUAAAUUCUUCAUUUUUCUUUGAAUUGUUGAUUUAUAAUGUCUUGUAUGCAAAAUUCGGAAUUUGGGAUGAUGAUAAUCUUGAUUUAGAACAGAUUAGGUAGCAUGUGGAAUCAAGGCAUGCGAAAGCUUUGAUUUGUUUCUGAUACUUUCCUGGCAUUGGGGGAUAUUGUUUCUCUUUUGAUUUUCUGUUUUUGUUGUUAUGGGAUUUGGAGAGAGUGUACAUGAAUGAAUAUGAUGUAACAGAGUGCUUUUGAUAAAUUCCCCUGAUCGGUUC
This 415-nucleotide long non-coding RNA is filed under the name Citrus maxima (pomelo). RNAcentral describes it as "long non-coding RNA (CMAX_LNC001345)". Lineage: Eukaryota; Viridiplantae; Streptophyta; Magnoliopsida; Sapindales; Rutaceae. The record is from RNAcentral.